Molecule: ribosomal RNA, 248 nt
Filed under: uncultured bacterium
Lineage: Bacteria
Description: partial 16S ribosomal RNA
Rfam family: Bacterial small subunit ribosomal RNA
Source: RNAcentral
AUACGUAGGGUCCAAGCGUUAUCCGGAUUUACUGGGUGUAAAGGGCGACGUAGGCGGAUGUACAAGUCAGAUGUGAAAUACCGCAGCUUAACUGCGGGGCUGCAUUUGAAACUGUACAUCUUGAGUGCGGGAGAGGUAAGCGGAAUUCCGAGUGUAGCGGUAAAAUGCAUAGAUAUUCGGAGGAACACCAGUGGCGAAGGCGGCUUACUGGACCGUAACUGACGCUGAAGCACGAAAGCGUGGGGAUC